UGCCUGAUACCUUGAGUUCCCGCUCAGUUUCCGCUGAGUUUCCCCACAAUAAAGCAGCUCCCGCUUCAACCUUCAAGUUGCUUGUCACCUCCCGGUUAUUUUGCCCAGCCGGACUGUGGCAGAGACGGAAGGUCCAGGUGUUUCUGUUACUUCUCUGGUUCCAGCAACUGCCUUGUCAACUGUCCCCAGUGUCCUGUACCCCAGUUUCCCAAGCAACAGUGAACCUAAAAAACACACAAAAUGAUGCUGGUGUUAAGUAACACAUCUGGGGACACCUCGUCUCACCAGCCAAAUGUCAUGUUUUUUCUAUAAAAUCAACCGAUGAUCAAGGGCACCGGCUUUGUCCCCCUUGCUUCCUGGGAAUUGUUUUUAGGCCGCUCUCCAUCUUUGACAACAAAUGGACUUGGUGUCACCUCCCCUGUCCACGUGGCCCUAAUUGGGGACCCGUUGCUCGGAUUGGCUGAACAUGGAUCGUUGUGAGGCGGUUUGGAAACACUGGCGAGUGGCUUCAAAAUCACUGUGUUUGCAUUAAAGGAGGUCUACGCAGUCUGCUGCUGUCAUUUAGAGGGCAUUUCUCUGACUCCAGGGUUUCACAGAGUGAUUCUGUUGAAGAUAUUUUCAUUUAAAAACUUUCAUCUA
This is a non-coding RNA of Ictidomys tridecemlineatus (thirteen-lined ground squirrel), 639 nucleotides long. NCBI's taxonomy places the organism in Eukaryota, Metazoa, Chordata, Mammalia, Rodentia, Sciuridae. The record is from RefSeq and is a predicted model, not a curated record.